This is a long non-coding RNA of Octopus sinensis (East Asian common octopus), 139 nucleotides long. RefSeq lists it as uncharacterized. NCBI's taxonomy places the organism in Eukaryota, Metazoa, Mollusca, Cephalopoda, Octopoda, Octopodidae. The transcript is spliced from 3 exons. The record is from RefSeq and is a predicted model, not a curated record.
GACCUUGGAGUAUUUAUUCUUUGGUGACUUACUGACCAAAUGACCAUAACAGAUCCCUGCCUCCCAGAGGUGAAUAGUUACAUUUGUCUUCGGCUUUUAGAGUCUGACGAGACGUCCAUAGGCCUUUUAUAGAUGCAAA